Long non-coding RNA from Marmota monax (woodchuck), 6324 nucleotides. RefSeq lists it as uncharacterized. Lineage: Eukaryota; Metazoa; Chordata; Mammalia; Rodentia; Sciuridae. The record is from RefSeq and is a predicted model, not a curated record. The transcript has 5 exons.
UCCAGUCCUGGUCCCCCCCAGGCUCCUCCCCGCCCCCACCGUCCUCCGGCCUCGCUGGGGGGAAGGAAGCCCCGCUCUCUCCGCCGGGUAUAAAUAGCGCAGGUGGUUACUCAGCCUCGGGAACAUGAUAACAUGAGUCACCCGCGAAAUCAAGACAGCGCCGUCAGCCCGGGCACCGCCCCGGGCACCGCAGAGGUGGGCUCCCGGGAGGGGCUGCGGUGCCCGUACUGGGACAGCACCCUGCACGGUCCGAGCCGCGGAGAAGCCGCAGGCCAAGCACGGUCUCAGCCAGGCCACAGGCAGGGUGGGACAGCUCGGUGUCCCCGCCCUCUCUGCGCAUCUGGAGGGGCGGCGUCCUUCCCAGGGCCCUCCCCAGCCAGGAGGGAGGAGGAGGGCAGGGGCCACACUCCCAGCGUCCUUGGGUCCUCUCCCUGUGCCCGUCACAUGUGGCAUAUAGAGUAAGUCCAUCGGAACUUUUGGUCCCCUCGCCCCAUUUCCAGGGCAAGUGGCUUUUGGGGUCCCCUGGGCCUCGAUGGGGACCUGUGGGAUGGAGCAGGGGGUUGGGCAGCAGCAGAAGGGCCUGCGGGGCCACGCCCACCCAAGUGGCCCUGGAUCGAGGACACUCUGCCUAACACCUUCCUCUGCGCCUGGCUGCGGCGUGGGCACAGAAACAGGACACCCUCAAGGACCUCGGGCGGAGCCGUGUGACCAGCCAGGCGGCAAGGCCAGGGCCUGGCCCUGCAGGCUAGAUCAGCAGCCACCCAGCCCCGGCUCCUCGCCCAAGUCCUCUGCUCCGACUCAUCUCCAGAGCCACACAGGCCCGGACCCCGUUGCCAUGGCAACGGGCUCUGGAGCCAGCGCAGACCAGGCCACGUCUCCUGUCCGCCUCGGGCCACCAGGCCUGGUGGGGACAGCAGGGCCACAUGGAAGGGAGGAGCCCAUCACACCUGUCCUGGUGGGGGAGUGUCUGGCGGGGCACAGCAGGUCUUCUGUCCAGGCCGCCUGUUGAGGCACUAGGGUGACCAUGUGACCACAUGGCUCUGUCCCUGGGACUGAGCCUGAGGACCCCAGAGUCAGAGGGAGAUCGAGAGUCUCCUGGCUGUUGGGAGGUGGCACAGCUGAGGGCUGAGCACUGGGACCCCAGAACCCCGACCUCGGCCAUGCAACACCCCCCCCCCGCCAUCUCUGGCCUUUGUCCAAAGGGAGCCCCCAGAGCCGCGCCCCUGGCUCCCAACCCUGGCCUUGUCUCUUCUCCAGGAGACACAGCCCCACCCUGCCCGGCCCCCUGCAUGCCCAGACAGCUUGGCAUGGCCCGGACCCUGCCAUUCAAUGGGUAGCCUGCCCUCUGGCCCCUCACACAAUAGGGACUCCAGGAAUACUGUCCCCCAGGCUGAAUCAAAGGCUCUAAAUUUAGCCCAUCUGCUACUGCGAGCUUCCUGCCCCUGCUGCCUCCUUUCCAGGCGAUGAGGUCACCCCGGAACCGCCUGCCCCUGCGGCCAGGCCGGGGGGUUUCCAGGUCCGGGGUGUUCUGCGGCUCUUGGGGACAGGGCCUUGAGCGUCCUCCUCCCUCCAGGGCCCUGGGGCCCCUCCUGCUCCUGGCCCUGUGGCCGACGUCCUCCUGGCCACCCCGGCCCCGCUGAGUCCCGGGAAUGUCACCAAAAUGACUUAUGGAGAGUCCAGUCCAUGCUGGCCCUGCGCCCAGGAGAGGGCAGCGGACCGGACCGGGACAUGUCCUGCCCUCUCGGCAGGGACAAUCAGCAAGUAGACCAUAAACCAACCAGACAAUGUCACUCACGGAAAGUGGCAUAAAGGAAAUAAACGAGAGAUGCCAUCACGGCACCAGGGACGAGGAAGGACAAGAACUGAGCACCCUCAACUGCGGGCAAAGGCACCUUGAGGAGUUUCCUCCUUUAGUCCCUUCAUGAGUCACAGUGGCCCAGAGAGGAUAUGUGUCCCACAGCAGGUCAGCUGUCCCCGGAACACCGCUGAGAGUAGGUAGCGACCUCCCCACUGUCCCUCCCUGAAUGGCUCCACGAAGCCCCUCUCCCCCACUCUGCCAGGAACCCAGGGUAGGCAGGGAGUGGGGGGCCUGGAAUGUGGCCUUCUGAUGCCACACUGUGUGCCACCCUCGGCAGAGACCUGGGGGGCACACAGAGGGACCAUCAGCUCUCUUCCAGAAUGGGGAGGCUGGCAGGGGCCAGCCGAGGAGGGCAGGGUCUCAGCUGGGGGACAUCUCCUGUUGGAGCUGCUGUCCCUGCUUCCCCCAGGGUGGGAGCCGAGGCCUAGCAAUGGUGACCCUACCCAUCCCUGCAGUGUCUCUUGCCACAAGGGCUCAGUGUGCGCAUUUAGGAGGUGACAGGCCCCAACCCAGGCCAGGCUUACCCUAGCACUCCUGAUCCCCCCAACCUGGCCCCUGAGAAGAAGGUGAAAACCUCUCUGCUGGCCAGGGGAGCCCAGGGAAGGUGGAGCGAAUGGGAAGUGGGAUACUCAGCGAGGACCCUGACUCCAGCCGUGUGACCUUGGGCAAGUGACUGAACCUCCCUGAACCUGGGUCUCCUCAUUUGUCUAACAGCAAUAAUUACAGGGCCUAACCCGCUGGGGUUCCUGGGGCAGAGCGUUUUUCUUAGUGAGUAGCUGGGGUAAGAGGAUGUAGGGGAGUUCACGCGCCCCCAGUGGUCCCGGGGUGCUGGAAACCUCUGGGGAGGGUAAGGAGCCGGGGCCAGGAGAGGUGGCGGACAUCCACCCAGUCCAGGUCGCCGGUGCGCGGGCACCCGCUCAGCCAGGCCGUGGCAGGAUGGCAGGCGGGUGAGGACUCCUCGCCCCGCGGCUGAGCCCCCUCCCUCCGCAGCAGGACCCAGGCCAAGGAGGCUUUAUUUUUAAACCUCAAACAAUGGCUGGCCCGGCUCAGCCUCUCCUCCGAGGACAGAGAGAGCGUGGAGCCGAGGGGCCAGGCUUCCUGGGCCAGCAUUCCUCCCCAGAGGACGCCGCCCCCCUCCAAGACAGGCCCGGAGCCCGCUGGGCCCUCCUUCUCAGCCGCAGGGGGUCGGGAUUCCAGAAUCUUCAGCAGCCCCGGGCCCUGGCCAGGACACCCACCGCCACCCCCACCAGCCCCUCCAGCCCUUGUCGCUCCCCAGGGCAGCUGGACACCGUCUCCUGGGAAGGCUCCCCCCGACCUGUCCAGCACCCGUGACCCCCUGAUGCCCCCAAGUCCCCUUGCUCACAGCCCUGUGGGAAACUCCUGCCCCUGUGCAGCAGGACAGUGUCCCUGACAGUGACCUGCGGUGACAGUCGAGCCAGGCAAGGGUGACUGGAUGAGAGUCAGGGGGAGUAGCCUGUGUGGAACCCAAUGUCAGCCCCUGUGUGACCUUGAGCAGGACCCAUAACCAUCCUUUGUCCCGUCAUUUCCUCUUCUGGGCAACAGGGACAAUAAGCCACCCCACGCCCAUCACACGGCGAGAACGGUCUUGGCUUCUGGGUGGGCAGGGGACGCUGGAAAUGGGGGCCCAGCCCCUGUGGUCCCUACAGAGACCCACAGACCCACACCCCGGCCAGGCCACCUGCGUCUCUCCCAGGUCUGCCACUGUCGGCCUCGGAUCUGGAAGGUCAGGCAGGUCACCGCCGUCACCUCUUCAGCUGCAGAACGGCUGAAGCCCCACCGCGCCUCCCGGGGCUGCCACGAGGUCAGAGAAACGCGAAGCUGGGCGCUGGGUGACCCCAGAGUGUGGAGGACACCGGACGUGUGGGGACGAGAACGGGCACCAGGCUGGAGGUGUGCAUUUGUGUCCUGGGCGAGGCUGUGUCCAGGCCUGGGGCAUGUGUGGGCUGCGACCUUCGGUGAGCGCCCGGGGGGUGCAGGGGGACACGAGGAGGACGUGCGGGGGACCCCUCCUCGCCAGUAUCGUUUCCUGCUAGACGGGGAGCACAGGUCACCAAGGUCCCCUCUCUCCCGAGCCUGGCCCCCCCACCCCAGAGGGAGACUCCUGGGAGAGGAGAGGGACGGUCCGGGGGAGAAGGGAAGGGCUUGGCGUCUCCGGCCUGGGCAUCCUCGGCUCCUGCCUGUGACACUGCGAGUCCUCCUUGGCCAUCCCCCCAUCCUGUGGACUCUCCUUUGUCCACUGCAGGGACCCAGUGUCCAGAACAGCACCAGACACAUAGUAGGUGCUCAGCGAGCUACGCGACUGCCACCCCCGUGACCAGGCCCAGAGCGUCCCGCUGCCCCAGGGCCCCUCCUGCCCCUUUCUCAGGCCCUCCCUCUCCAGCUCCCUCCCGGGCAGCCCCGACCUGCCCUCGGGCACCAGAAUUUUGCCUUUUCUAGAAUUUCCCGUAAGCAAGAGCGUGUGACCGCCGACACCUGCCUCUGCAGAGCCAGCUCCCAUGGCCACAAGGGUCAGAGGAGGGGCCCGUCAGCAGGUGACAGGUGACAGGCACAAGUGACAGGCCCAGGAAAGGUGAACAGGCCUGGCUGGAGAAAUGAUUUGGGAGGACUCUGUGGCCAGAUCUAAGAAGGGCCUCCUCAGCAGAGGCCAGGAGAAGUUUCGGGGGGGGGGGUAGGGGGGCUCACAGACACACACACAAGUGUGCACUCACAAGCACGUGAGCACACUCCUGCUCGCACAUACAAGGAGGAGAGCAGGCCAGGCCCGGAAGGACGGCUCCGAGGCAGACGAGGUCCAGGCCGGGGCCUGCUUGGUCCCUCUUCGCUGCCCAGGAGAACCCCCUCCAGGCUGCCCAGGGAGGAGCCGCGGGCCGGCCAGGGUGGGCUGGGUGAGUGGAGCGCGCUCCGUGGCCCCUAGGCUGUCACGGGAAGCAGCACUUGGUUCUCUGGACGCUGGCCUCUGCAGCCCCAGGAGGCCACGCUAGGAGGACACUCAGCCGCCCACACAGUCCCAAGUCCAGCCACUGACCACAGCUGUGUGAGACCCCAAGCCACACAGCCUUGCUCAGCCCUUCCUGACCUCCUGACCUGCAGAAGCUACGAGAACAAGCUGCUUCUUAGGCAGGGUCUCGCUGAGCUGCUUAGGGCCUCACCAUUGAUGAGGCUGGCUUUGCACUUGUGAUCCUCCUGCCUCAGCCUCCCAUGCCACUGGGAUUACAGGAGUGCACCACCGUGCCUGGCUUCUUGCUCCCACAUUCUGGAAUGUGAGAUGCCACCAAUCAGCAGGCCUCCCCGACGCCUGCCCCUGCCUCCAGUACCCCCAGCCUUCACUUCCUGCUCCUGCUCCUGCUGAGGCUGGUAAAUCGUGCUCGGUCUUUCGCUGCCUGCCUUUCUUGUGUUUCUGCAAGCCCCUGCCAACGGGGACUUUCUACGGUUUAUCUUCAGGGCCCAGAGCAGGGCCUGGCCCGCCAUGCAGCUGUGAGUGAGUGGAUGGAUGCAUGCAUGACUCAUCUCACCCCUGAUGGUGACAGGGUGACAGGGAGAGCACUGAGCCUUUCAAGACAGGUUGCUCACAGAAAAAAAAAAAAAAAAUCCAGCCAGGCACCAUGGCGCACACCUGUAAUCCCAGUGAUUCUGGGAGGCUGAGGGAGGAGGAUCUCAAGUUCGAGGCCAGCCUCAGCAACUUGGCAAAACCCCAUCUCAAAUUAAAAUUUGAAAAGGGCUGGGAUAAGGGUCCGGGGAGAGCACUUGUCUAUCAUGCACAAGUCCCUGGACUCAGUCCCGAGUACUAAGGGGAAAAAUUCCACUAAGAAGUGCACAGAGGACCUGAAUAGACCUCCCUGCCAAGAAGACCUACAAAGGCCAAUAAGCGCGUGGAGAAACGUCUGCAUCACGAAUCACCAGAGAGAUGCAAAUCAAAGCCACCGGAGAGCUUGUGACCCCGUCAGUGUGGCUAUCAUCAAAAUCACAAGAAAUAGCAAAUGCCAGGUAAGAACGUGGAGGAAGGGAGAGUCCCAGACCUGUGGCCAGCACCGGCAGGACAGCCCGCAGAGCGGAGGUUCCUCAAAACACAAGACCGCGCUCUGCUCCCCUAACCGCCACAGGGCCCAGAGCCCGGGACAGGAGCAUAGCAGGUCCGAGGUGUGCACUCCGCAAUGAUCCCUGCAGCGUCCUUCACGGUCCCAAGAAGUGCCCUCGACCCCAGUGUCCAUCGGGGGAUUAGUGGCUAAAGAAAACGUGGCCUGUCCACAGUGGCCUCCCACGCAGCCGGAAAAAAGGGUGAUUCUGUCAUCUGCAGCAACACGGGGGUGCAGCGGUGCACACCUGUAAUCCCAGCGGCUUGGGAGACUGAGGCAGGAGGAUCGUGAGUUCAAAGCCAGCCUCAGCAACAGCAAGGCACUAAGCAACUCAGUUAGAUCCUGUCUCUAAAUAAAACACAAAAUAAAGAG